This 253-nucleotide ribosomal RNA is filed under the name uncultured bacterium. RNAcentral's name for it is "partial 16S ribosomal RNA". It matches the Rfam family "Bacterial small subunit ribosomal RNA", at positions 524 to 776 of the family's 1533-position model. The record is from RNAcentral.
UACGGAGGGGGCAAGCGUUAUUCGGAAUUAUUGGGCGUAAAGGGCGCGUAGGCGGCUAGAUGUGUCAAAGGUGAAAUCCCUCGGCUCAACUGAGGAACUGCCUUUGAAACUGUCUGGCUUGAGGCCGGGAGAGGGUAGCGGAAUUCCGAGUGUAGCGGUGAAAUGCGUAGAUAUUGGGAGGAACACCUGCGGCGAAGGCGGGUUGCUGGGCUGAUACUGACGCUGAGGCGCGAAAGCCAGGGGAGCGAACGGG